UACGAAGGGGGCUAGCGUUGUUCGGAUUUACUGGGCGUAAAGCGCACGUAGGCGGAUCGUUAAGUCGGGGGUGAAAUCCUGGAGCUCAACUCCAGAACUGCCUUCGAUACUGGCGAUCUUGAGUCCGGAAGAGGUGAGUGGAACUCCUAGUGUAGAGAUGGAAUUCGUAGAUAUUAGGAAGAACACCGGUGGCGAAGGCGGCGACCUGGUCCUUUUACUGACGCUGAGGCGCGAAAGCGUGGGGAGCAAACAGG
Molecule: ribosomal RNA, 254 nt
Filed under: uncultured bacterium
Lineage: Bacteria
Description: partial 16S ribosomal RNA
Rfam family: Bacterial small subunit ribosomal RNA
Source: RNAcentral